Molecule: RNA transcript, 5417 nt
Organism: Sapajus apella (tufted capuchin)
Lineage: Eukaryota; Metazoa; Chordata; Mammalia; Primates; Cebidae
Exons: 3
Source: RefSeq, a predicted model, not a curated record
UCGUUUGAGCCCAGCAGGCAGAGGUGGCAGUGAGCCAAGAUCAUGCCACUGUGCUGCAGCCUGGGUGACAGUGAGACCCUGUCUUUAAAAAUAAAGGGUGGGGGGGAAGUGUGGAUGAGAACCUGUUUGGGUGAGAGCGAUGGCAGUGGCUGUUUGGGUGGUGAGGAACCUAGCAAACAUAGUGCUUCAUUAGACUAAUUAAUUCUGCCCCAGGCACUGAUACAGGACAUAGAAGCUCUUCCUUACCCUCACGGAUGAAACCUAGUUGGGGAGCUUGCCAGUUAAUGGCAGAUAAGGACUGUACAGACAUGCCAAGUCGUGCAGUCUUGAUUAUUUUGUACCAAAGUAAAGUUCAUGGCAAAUCAACGUUUAAUUUUUAAUGUAAGCACUAAGAAUCAGAUUUUUCUGAGAAGGUUCCAAAGAGAUGAUAAAGCACAGUGUAAAAUACCUUUUUUUCUUAACACGUACCUACUGCUUAGCACCGUCCAUAUUAGCGUGGAAGACGCCUUUCUCAGUUCUCCAUACAGAUUCCAAAAGCGUUCUAAGGUUAAAGCAGUGGAACGAUAUGGAGACAAGCUGUGACAGUAGUUCCACCCAGUGACGCUCCCAUAAUCUUAAUAAAGAAGAAAUACUGACCCCUCCACCCCACCCCACCAAGAGGGCUCAGUGAUUUUCAGAGCAAUGAGUUUUGAGGUGUGAGACAUGACGUAAAGAAAUGUCACGACAUCUCUACAUCUUCCUCUCUUCAGGGGGCGAGACCAGCUGUUAUGAGGAUGCGGGGGCCCUGGGGUCCCAGGGCUGAGAGGCAGGUGUCAGCUUAGGGUGGAAGGAACGUUUUAACUGGAGCGCCCUCACUUACCAUAUUGUUAAGAUGACCCUGUGCGCAGAGAGGACAGGCCGCGGCGGGCAACCGCGUCUUUCCCUAGAUGCACGUUAGCAUAUUGGCUUGCACAGUUUGGGUUCCUAAAAUCAGUCUCACAUCAUAUUUGAUGUUACUGCUGCUUACAGAUACAGCUGUUGUGCCUGUCCAUGCAAAAAGAAUUUGGCCGCAUGCCAGAGGGAAAUUUAGCUAAUUCCUAAAUGCUGUCCUCUGUUGAAAAAUUUCCAAUUUGAGCUGCUGUGAAAGGAGGCCUCCACCAGCCUCUCACCAGAAGAUUGCUCAUUGGAACGCAAUGCCACCUGGUGGGGGACGAGGACAGUGCAAGCAAGCAGAUGUUAUUUCCUACUGACCUAAUUUAGAGAACAUUAAACGUAAGAGAGAGAACAUUGGGGUUGUAAGCCUGUGCCCGAAACCUUAAUGAAUGCAGGCAGCUGGCCAUAAAAGCAACUUGAGCCAUCCCCUCAUUCAGCAGUUGAAAUCUCAGUUUGUGUGUAAACACUUCAAAGGUUUCCUUUGGUCAUCACAGCUGGGGAGUGCAGAGGGAAUUCUCCCUCUCGUUUUAUAGGAAAGGAAUUUUGCGUUCAGCGAGAUGAAGUGCUGCAGACAGGCCUGUAAGGAAGCUCCGGCCUCUGCUUGAUGUCGGGGCUCACUUCCCAGCGCCACUUCCUGCCCCCACAGUGCUUCCGGCAGAGCCCAGGGCGGUGGCUUUUUGGAGCUGUGUCUUUAUGGAGCUGUGUGAGGUGAUAGGAGCCCACAGGCGGGAUGGCCGGGCGGCCUCUGGAUUCCUAGGAGGGCUGGACCAGGUCGUGGGCAUGCCUGGAACACAGGCCACGUCCUGUCCCAUAGGGAUGCCUCUUCCAUGUAUCUCUUGAAGGAUUUGAAGACGUGGGAUGGUGAAAAGUUUCCGGAGAGAAACAUUCAGGACUUUGAGAACGAGGCUUUCAGCAUUGGCCUAUCAGAUUGUCCCAAGUACCCCUUCUGCCCAUUGCCCCCAAGACACUCCACAGGCAAAGAUAAAUGGUGACAAAGUAACCUUCACAGAAACAAGAAUGGUCACCCCCACCCACUCCCAACAAGCCCUGCUGAAGGCAAAGCACACCACCAGGCUGCCUGGCAGUUACUGAGUGCUCACUCGUGCUAGCCUAUUGGAGUUAGGUCAUAUUUGUUGCCUGGUAACUUAAUUGAACCUUCCAUGCCUUCACAAAGUCAAUUGUACAAGAGAUGGCACCCACCACACUCCAUGUGACCUUUCUCGGGCUGGUGUUACAGAGUGGGGAUGACGACACUCACUUUGUAGAAUAGUUGCACAGAUUAAACCUGGCAAACACAUAAAGCACUCAAUGUCCAACACACGGUAGGCUCUGAAGAAGUUUGUCAUGCAGGUCACACUUGAAUGCCCAGUAUGGGCCCGACUUCAUCAGCUCAUUUCAGCCUCUACAGCCCUGUGAGGGAGGAACUCUGCCCUGUUUUACGGUUAGGGAAGUUGAGGCACAUAGGCUAAGAGUCGGCAUCCAAGGGCACAGAUGAUUGGGUGACAGUGAGCCCAGGCAGGGUGGCUACAAGGGUGCUGCCCCUUGCCACCUCUGACGAUUCGCGGGUGUGUCGGUGUGAGGUGCAGACAGCCCUGCAGUGACAUCCGGCGGGCAGGACUCCCAGGCAAGCUCUUCCGCGAACAUUCAUGGGCCACCAGCCCUUUCUUUCUGGAGCUUUCCUUUUUUUACCCGAAAGCCACAUGGAUGGUUGGUAAAUUGGUAUAAAAUUUGAACUAAGUCAUUUCAAAAGUUCCCUUUCGGUUCUGAAAUUCUGUGAAUUAAAGCCUGCUUUUUCACUUUAAAUGAUUUAUCGGGGUUUAAAAUUCUUUACCUUUUCACUUUCUGAUUUAACUGAUUUGAAGUCCUUAUUUUGUGUGUUGGGGAACACACCCGCAUCAGUCACAGCGUGGCUGUGGGAUGGGAGGCUGACGUUAGGCCGGCCAGUCACUAGGGGGCAGCAUCGGCCCGGGGCUGGCUGUCCCUGGCCUUCAGGAGCAGUUUCUGCCCCUCCUGCUCCGUCAGAAGGUCUCUGACUCCUCUGUACUUGCAUAUGUAAAGUUUUCAUUUUCAGAGGCUUUUUAGUCAAAAAAAUAAAUAAAUAAAGGUGUGUGACUUACUACCAAAGGAUACAAGUUAGGCACAGCUCUUGUGUUGGCUGCAUAAACCAAGGAGCAUCAACCUAACCCCCCCAAGCUAAGAAUGGCUUUUUGCAUCUUUACAUGGUUGAAAAAGGAAAAAGAAUUUUUAAUGACACUUGAAAAUUACAUGAAAUUCAAAUUUCAGUGUCUACAAAUAAAGUGCACUGGCACACAGCCCUCUUGCUUCUCUGCAUGUUGUCUGUGGGUGCUUUGUCUUACUCCAGCAAAGUGGAAUAAUGGGGACAGAGACCCUACGGCCCUUGAAGCCUGAAAUAUUUACCGUCCGUCCCUUACAGGAAAAGCUUGCCAUCGUCAGCCUUAUCUGCAGAAAGAUGCACUUGGCUUUAUCUUCAGGGUCCUGAUGUUCUGGGAGGAGGCGCUUUACCCUCCUUUGUGGGCUGUUUUCUUAGUGCAGUUAGUAGUGUCUGGUACUUAAGAAGGCACAGAGGCUGAGAGUGGGUGUCCAAGGGCCCAGAGCGGCUGACGGUGAAGUGAGCACAGGCCGUGUGCGGUACUGCGCGGUUAAGAAGCUGCAGGUUCUCAGGCACAGUCAGUCAUUGAGAAAACCAUGGCUGGGAGCUCAGCCUAGCCAGGGGCAUCCUAGUGCCAAGGAUCAGAAAGAGUGGGGGAGGGGAAUUCUGCCUUCAGGGAAUGGGGGAAGGAUUUUCAAAGGGUGCGUUUUAGUUGUGCCAAGAAAGAAGAAGUGAGAUUUUCCUUAGUGAAGAGGUGAGAGAUGGCAAAGGAAGCGGCAUGGCCCAAGGUGCACCCGGGAAGAGUAACUCGGAGGGUGCGCUGGGUUAGGGGAUGAGGCUGAGGGCAGUACUGCAGGAGGUGGAGGUAGGCAGGGACUGCAGGACCCCCCUUAACCGCGGGAGGGAGCCGGGAGAAGUGGGUCUCUAUGCACAGGCUGCAUUUGCGGUGCCUGAGGGCAUCUGGAAGACCCGUGGUUCUCCAAGAGUGGUCGCUGAGUCACUUGCAACAGAGUCACCUAAUGGGCUUCAGUGGAAAGACAGACUCCCUGACUCCCUCUCCCCGCCAAACACACUCCUACAGCGUGGAGGUUUCCAGUGGAAGCAGAGCCAUCAAAGAAGGCUGAGUGUGAGAAUUCAGAGACACUGGAGAUCUGGAGAAUGUGCCUCAAAAACAAACAAAAAAAAGAUUUCAAGAAUGAAGUGGUUGUGUGGUGGUCACAUGCAGUGGAGGAAUAUUUACUGCAGAUAUCACAUGCCGAUAAGGAAUGAGUCACUGACAGUAAGAAGACAGGUGCUGGGAGAUGGGGGCAGCGGGGCGGGGUCGGGGGAGGAGGGCAGGACUGGAGGAAGAUGCCCAGGUGGAUGGGAGCUGUGAAGGCAGAGUUGCCCCUUGUACUUGGGGUGGGUGGGGGAUGGCCUGAUGGUAUUCUUUAUCCUGGCGACACCAGGGGAGGCAGGCACUGCGGAGAGUGACCGAGGUCUGAGACUGCUGCUUGGAUCAGGGAGCCAAGGGACACUGAGUAAAACCGCAUCCCUGAGGUCCGCUGAGAUUGAAACCAUGGAUUUGAGGUGUGGUCAGUCACACCACAGCUUAGGAAUCAUUCCUUUCUAAUAAUGUAGGAAGCCAGGGACAGGUUAGGAUGAUUUGGGAUGGAGAUAUACGGGGUCCCUGCAGAGGCCUCGUGUUGAGUUCCUCACUGCCCUUGCUGGUUCAACUACCCCUUUUGGGCUUUCACUUCUCUCCUGUCACUCUCCCCACAAACCCUUUCCUGCCUCUGCCACACGCGGAAAGCCUCGUCAGGGGCGCUGCCUCCAGCUGCCAGCGUUGCACUUCCGCGCCCUGCGCGCCUGUUCCCUGCAGCCACGUUUGGCCCAUCCCAAGGAUCCUGCUGCCUCUGGGCCUCUUGAGCCUUCACAUUUUCCCGGCUCUUGUUUUGGUCCCAGCUUCUAGGUCACUGUUCCCAGACUAAGUGGGGAAGGGACUUGCCCCAGAGACCCAAAUCUUGCACACAAGUCACUAAUAAGUCUGUGGUAACUCACAUCAAUCAAACCAGAGACAGAAAAGAGUUCCCUGGGCAGGUCAGGGAAGUUGUUUUCCUACCUAGACUGUGUGUGCAUCAGGCAGCAAGCUGAAGCUGCACCCCAGCAGCAAAGCUUCCAGAAAACUCCAUUUGGGCUUAAUUUAGUUUGUGCAAAUAUGAAAAGGUAAGUGGCUGAAAUGUGCCUUUAACUAACGGGAGGGGUGACAGGAGGGAGGGCAGUUUGCUAAACAUAGGAACAUGAUUUCUAGGGAAAUGUUUAAACCGUUAGGACAGGGAUCGUGCCUAUGAUCACUUUGGGCAGCUGGGGUAGGGGGGAUGGCUUGAGGCCAGGCGUUCAAGACCAGCCCAGGCAA